This 1003-nucleotide long non-coding RNA is filed under the name Numida meleagris (helmeted guineafowl). RNAcentral describes it as "lncRNA (ENSNMEG00000002919.1)". The record is from RNAcentral. Lineage: Eukaryota; Metazoa; Chordata; Aves; Galliformes; Numididae.
AGAACCGGCGCAGCGCCGGAGGCCGCGUGCGGGACGUCACCCUGCGCCGCGACGGCGCCGCCAUCGUUACCUUCCAGGACCCUGAGGGUGGGUGCCGCGCCGACACCGACGCCGGGUGGGGGUCCCGGGGUCACCAGCGUAAUUUGGGGUCCCAGUGUUUUACUGCGGUUUGGGGGUCCCGGGGUCAGUGUCCCAUUUUUGGGGGUCCUGGUGUCACCGCUGUGGUUUGGGGUCUCAGGGUCAGUGUCCCAGUUUGGGGGUCCCAGUGUCCCUGUCCCAGUUUGGGGGUCCUGGUGUCACCGCUGUGGUUUGGGGUCCUGGAGUCCCUGUCCCAGUUUGGGGGUCCCACUGUCACCACCACAAUUUGGGGUCCCGGUGUCCCUGCCCCUCUUUGGGGGUCCCAGUGUCCCUGUCCCAGUUUGGGGGUCCCAGUGUCACUGCUGUAGUUUGGGGGUCCCAGUGUCACUGCUGUAGUUUGGGGGUCCCAGUGUCAGUGUCCCAGUUUGGGGGUCCCAGUGUCACUGCUGUGGUUUGGGGUCCCGGUGUCAGCGUCCCAGUUUGGGGGUCCCAAGGUCACCACCACAAUUUGGGGGUCCCGGUGUCCCUGGUCCCAGUUUGGGGGUCCCCAGGUCACCACCGCAAUUUGGGGUCCCAGUGUCCCUGUCCCAGUUUGGGGGUCCUGGUGUCACCACUGAGGUUUGGGGUCCCAGUGUCUCUGUCCCAGUUUGGGGGUCCUGGGGUCAGUGUCCCAUUUUUGGGGGUCCCAGGGUCAGUGUCCCAGUUUGGGGGUCCCAGUGCCACCACCGCAAUUUGGGGGUCCCAGUGUCCCUGGUCCCAGUUUGGGAGUCCCAGUGUCCAUGUCCCAGUUUGGGGGUCCCCGUGUCACCGCUGUGGUUUGGGGUCCCAGUGUCCCUGUCCCAGUUGGGGGGGUCCCCAGGUCACCACCGCAAUUUGGGGUCCCAGUGUCAGUAUCCCAGUUGGGGGGGUCCCGGUGUCACCACCU